GACGAACGCUGGCGGCGUGCUUAACACAUGCAAGUCGAACGGAAAGGCCCUGCUUUUGUGGGGUGCUCGAGUGGCGAACGGGUGAGUAACACGUGAGUAACCUGCCCUUGACUUUGGGAUAACUUCAGGAAACUGGGGCUAAUACCGGAUAGGAGCUCCUGCUGCAUGGUGGGGGUUGGAAAGUUUCGGCGGUUGGGGAUGGACUCGCGGCUUAUCAGCUUGUUGGUGGGGUAGUGGCUUACCAAGGCUUUGACGGGUAGCCGGCCUGAGAGGGUGACCGGCCACAUUGUGACUGAGAUACGGACCAGACUCCUACGGGAGGCAGCAGUGGGGAUUAUUGCACAGUGGGCGGAAGCCUGAUGCAGCAACGCCGGGUGCGGGAUGACGGCCUUCGGGUUGUAAACCGCUUUCGCCUGUGACGAAGCGUGAGUGACGGUAAUGGGUAAAGAAGCACCGGCUAACUACGUG
RNAcentral lists this ribosomal RNA (468 nucleotides) under uncultured bacterium. Its description in RNAcentral is "partial 16S ribosomal RNA". It matches the Rfam family "Bacterial small subunit ribosomal RNA", at positions 28 to 507 of the family's 1533-position model. The record is from RNAcentral.